RNA transcript from Labeo rohita (rohu), 2718 nucleotides. It is a transcript of the gene named vascular endothelial growth factor Aa, with no coding region annotated. NCBI's taxonomy places the organism in Eukaryota, Metazoa, Chordata, Actinopteri, Cypriniformes, Cyprinidae. The transcript is spliced from 7 exons. The record is from RefSeq and is a predicted model, not a curated record.
AGCGCUGAAAGACAGAGCGAGCGCAAAGUGACAAGACCUCCCCGUACCGCCAGAUAACAUCCACAACGUUAUGAGACAACAAAAGCCAAAGCAAGAGCGGAAAUAAGGCGAGGAAAAGAAGGCAACACCCGCUGAAGUUUAACCAGGGACUGCCAUUGGAUCACUUUAUACCGGCACAUGUAAUAUCUUGCUCUUGGUGAUAAUCAUAUGCGCAGAAGCCGUUCUCUGGCCCCACAGUCACGCGUGCAGAGUGGAGGUUGCGCUUGGAAGUGUACGAAACUUUUUUAUUAUUAUUUUGUUUUGUUUGUGACGUUUUGGAAUCAGACGUAUUAGACGUCGACUUUCCGUUAUACUGUGGAUUUUAAAAGCGAAAAAGGAGGACCAGUAUAGUGUGGAUUUUCUCCGCUUUCUUUUCUUUGUUAUUCGUUUAUUUUUACUGUUAUUGCGAUUAUUUAUAGUAUUAAAUUCUCUGGAGGAGCGCUAGCGUUCAAGAAGUUCGUUUUAGUGGAUUCGACGCAGGUGCUUCGGUCCUGAAGGGCAGAAUGGGAUUGUUACUUUGACCCACGAUAUCACACGGUUCAUUCAUAUUCAGCAGCUUCGCUUUUAAUUGUUUUGAGAGCCAAAGACUGUUCAGUGACGCUCGCCGCCACACACCACUGGAAUUACAAUCAUGAACUUUGUUGUCUGUUCGAUACAGUUAUUUUUUGCGGCUCUCCUUCAUCUGUCUGCUGUAAAGGCUUCCCCCAUACCCAAAGACGGGGUAAAGAGCAAAAAUGACGUGAUUCUCUUCAUGGAGGUGUACAAAAAGAGCGCGUGUAAGACACGAGAGGUGCUGGUUGACAUCAUUCAGGAGUAUCCCGACGAGAUCGAGCACACGUACAUCCCGUCCUGUGUGGUUCUCAUGCGCUGUGCAGGCUGCUGCAAUGACGAAGCGCUCGAGUGCGUCCCUACAGAGACGCGCAACGUCACCAUGGAGGUACUGCGAGUCAAACAGCGUGUAUCGCAGCAUAAUUUUCAACUGAGCUUCACAGAACACACCAAGUGUGAAUGCAGGCAAAAGGUAGAAGUCAAAUCAAAGAAAGAAAAAAAACCCAGAGUGGGGAGGGUUAAAAGCCGAAAGAGAGCAAGAGAGGGAGAUUCGGGCGAUCUCAGCGCCUCGGCUCACCUGCGCUCAAGCAGUAUUUUGCUCUCAGUUGUUGGCUUUAUUUUAGGGCAGCUUGUUUGCUCUUUGUAAUCUCAUUUGUCUUGUCGGCUUAAAGCCCCAGUCUGCAUUUAUUUGUACUCAAAUUCACACUGUUGGCCCACGGCCCGCAAAGAGGAAAGCAACCAAAGAUGUGAAAAACCAAGAUGAUGAGCGGCGCGCUGGGCAGAACACUGAAUGAAGGAAUUUUUUUACGGCACAGCACUUUUUAAACCUGAGGAUGCAUUCCCUGGACAAACUACAAACACUACCCUGAACAAAAGACAGACAAUGAAACGAAGGGAAGGAGAUAUCAUCCCGAUGUAUAUUUUAAAGAUAUUAAUAUAUGAAUAUAUAGAAUAUAUAUUAUAUAUAUUAAAUGACAAUGACAAUGUGUGUCGCUGCUAUCACCUACAAAGUAAAAAAAGCAAAACGAAGACGCUGCUUGGCGUGUGAAUGGGAUAUAUUUCAGUGUCACUGCACCUGGGCCUAAGACUGGACAGAACGCAGUGAGGUAAAGCUUCACUGGAUCGGCCCGCUGUGGAUUCAUAUUUAAAGACUCGGAUCGAAUGUCCAAGACUUCGCUGAGAGGUGCAAACGACAGCCUCCAACCCUUUAUAUGAACAGUUACAGACUGUCAGUCAAAGGAGAGGAAGUGACAUAAUAAUAACGAUUCUUUCCGGAAUGUUCGGAACAGUGGGUCCAGGCACGGGUUACGAAUGCGGAACUAUCUUUUUCUGUGAUGUCACUCUUGCUAGGGUGAAGUCUUAGUCAAAAAGACACCUGUACUGACUAACAACCAAUAGGACUUGGUGUGAUAGUACUAAAGGGAUAUUACAUGUAUGUAUAUAUGGAAAUCUAAAAAAAAGGAUAAAUGUGACAAAAUGAUUAUGACUUUUGCUGAAGAACGGACUCAUUCCGUUCACCGCGGUAGAUAUUUAAGUUUCGUAAUGUUUUCCAAAGAGAAUAAUAUUGCACACGACUUUAGGAACUGUUCAUUACCACACAAUAUCUGUAUAUACAUAACUAAUAUCCCUUUGUGUAGUUCACUACAUCUAAUUUAUAAUGUUAGAAUAUGUUCAGUAUUCUGUGUAUUUAAUUUGAUCUAUUUAUAUGCAGUGUUAUUGUUGAUAUUGUUUCGCUUUGUUUCCUAUCGACAUUGUCACCAAUCUGAAAAACUGUGGAUGGCUUUAUAGAACGAAAGACAAAAGAGAGAGAAAUGAACACUUCAACAUUCCUGAAAGCGCCUUUUUAGUCUAUCUGAACGUUUUUGUAUCAGCGAUCAGUUUGGUGGAGAUGCGAGACCUGCUGACGAGGUUUUGUGAUCGAAAAACAAACAUUCUCUUUGCGUGAAAGUGCCAGAAAUUAGUUUUUUUGUUUGUUUGUUUGCCAUGUACACCCACAUUUUCAGUAUAUUUUCACAGUAAUAUAUUUAUUGGUGCUGUUAAAUAUUAACAUCCUUUGUGUUUUUAGUAUAACUAUUAAACAUAUUUAUUUUCAAAUGAUAUUGUUUUUUAUUAAAGCAAAAAUGGAUUUCU